This 685-nucleotide long non-coding RNA is filed under the name Chinchilla lanigera (long-tailed chinchilla). RNAcentral's name for it is "lncRNA (ENSCLAG00000026932.1)". Lineage: Eukaryota; Metazoa; Chordata; Mammalia; Rodentia; Chinchillidae. The record is from RNAcentral.
UCUUUAUUCUUUCAUUGCAGAUCUUUCAGCCUCCUGACACAACUCACAGGGAACACUACAGUGAGUUCCAAGCCUUUGACUAGAUCCUCCAGCACGAAGACAGCCCUUUUGUACUCCUCCACACCUAACUCUGUAGGCAGCUACUAUCCUCAUUCCAGGGAGGCCUUGCCCCAUACUUGGGAGAAAAGAAAGCUACACAGAAAGGCCAAGAAGAUUCUCAAGACAACCUUGCUGGGAUUUCUUUUCUAAGUCUAUUACUAUUAUAGAACACCCUUUUCCAAUUAUACUUCUAUAUAGCUACCCAUUCCUCACUCAACCUAAGCUUGAAGAGUUCUCCCUCAACAUCUUUGUAAUAUAAAGCUUUGAUCAAAUAAAAGCAUUACACUCGUCUUUUUUUUUCUUUUUGAGACAGUCCUGCUGUACAGUUCAAGCUGGCCUUGAACUAUGUAGCCCAGGCUGGCCUCGAACUCGCAGAGACCCUCCUGCCUCAGCACUGAGUGCUGGCAUUACAGGCCUGUGCCACCGUGCCCAGAUUGUUUCUUACUUACCUUUUAGGAGUGUGGACCAUGACCCUUAUGAUGGGUGAUAAAAGGUUUUAUAUUGAGUUCCCAAAGCCCUACACAAGUAGUCAUGCAAAUUCAUGUAUAUUAAUCCUCUAGACUACAGUAUAACAAUAGUUUCUGUU